This 157-nucleotide ribosomal RNA is filed under the name Moronobea coccinea. Its description in RNAcentral is "5.8S ribosomal RNA". It matches the Rfam family "5.8S ribosomal RNA". Rfam says of the family: 5.8S ribosomal RNA (5.8S rRNA) is a component of the large subunit of the eukaryotic ribosome. It is transcribed by RNA polymerase I as part of the 45S precursor that also contains 18S and 28S rRNA. Lineage: Eukaryota; Viridiplantae; Streptophyta; Magnoliopsida; Malpighiales; Clusiaceae. The record is from RNAcentral.
UAAAAUGACUCUCGGCAACGGAUAUCUCGGCUCUUGCAUCGAUGAAGAACGUAGCGAAAUGCGAUACGUGGUGUGAAUUGCAGAAUCCCGUGAACCAUCGAGUUUUUGAACGCAAGUUGCGCCCAAGGCCUUUUGGUUGAGGGCACGUCUGCUUGGG